CAAUGUGUGUUGGCGAGAGAGAGAGAGAGAGAGAGAGAGAGAGAGAGAGAGAGAGAUGGGUGCAUGGGUUAAAUGAGCUGAAUACGAGAGAAAGCGCGCGAGCUGAGUUGGCUUUUUAAAAUAUCGGGCUAGAAAAUAAUUUAUGAGGACGAGGGCGAUCGUACUCAUAAGAGUAUAGUAACUAAAUGGAUGAUCGAAACUUCAAAUUGAUAAUGACUUUUAAAUUUUACAAAAUUUGGUUUCUAAACAUUUCUAAUUGUGUAGAUCAACUUCAACAGUGCCGAUUAUCAAUUUGAAGUUCCGAUCAUUCAAAUCGACUUGAUAGGACAAGGGUCCCGAUCCUAUUAAUAGGAUAGUAGCCGGACCAUAUAUCCGGCUACUGUACUAUCGAUAGCACGGAGCCUUCCGUGCUACCAAGUUGUUUUCGAUGAUGCGGCUUCCAAAUCGACGAUCGGCUCCGUUAAACUUGAUCUACACUAUUAAAAGUAUUUGGAAACUAAAUUUUAUAAUUUUUCGAUAUCAUUUACCUAUCAAAGAAAUAGUCUAAAAUUGAACGGCUGAAAAUAAAAAUCUCAUAAAAAAUGAUAAUAAAANAGGGGAAACAUGUAUUAUAUGUAUAGCAUGAUGUAGUACUCUAACGAAGAGAGAGAGAGAUCUAGAGAGAGAGAGAGAGGAAAAGGAAAAGAUGGGUGGAGAGAGUGGAGAAGUGGAGAGAGUGGGGCGUCGGCGCUCGGAACACAAGAGGGGCGUCGACGUGUGGCACCUCGCCAACGCGUAGCUUCCAUGACCACCACCACCCCCUCCACAGUGCGCGCACACGUACGCAAUGUGUGUUGGCGAGAGAGAGAGAGAGAGAGAGAGAGAGAGAGAGAGAUGCGUGCAUGGGUUAAAUGAGCUGAAUACGAGAGAAAGCGCGCGAGCUGAGUUGGCUUUUUAAAAUAUCGGGCAAGAAAAUAAUUUAUGAAAAUGAGGGCGAUCGUACUUAUAAGAAUAUAGUAACCAAAUGGAUGAUCGAAACAUUAAAUUGAUAAUGACUUUUAAAUAUUACAAAAUUUGGUUUCUAAACAUUUCUAAUUGUGUAGAUCAACUUCAACGGUGCCGAUUAUCAAUUUGAAGUUCUGAUCAUUCAAAUCGACUUGAUAGGACAAGGGUCCCAAUCUUAUUAAUAGGAUAGUAGCCGGACCCUAUAUAUAUAUAUAUAGUCCGGCUACUAUACUAUCGGUAGCACGGGGCCUUCCGUGCUAUCAAGUUGUUUUCGAUGAUGCGGCUUCCAAAUCGACGAUCGGCUCUGUUAGACUUGAUCUACACUAUUAAAAGUAUUUGGAAACUAAAUUUCAUAAUUUUUCGAUAUCAUUUACCUAUCAAAGAAAUAGUCUAAAAUUGAACGGCUGAAAAUAAAAAUCUAAUAAAAAAUGAUAAUAAAAGAUUUAAAUUUAAGAUCAGAUAUACUGAUCUUACUCUAAAUAGUGAAAAAAAUUUUCUAUAAAAUUUUCAUCCGAUUUGGAUUGUUUUACACCGUUAAACUCACAAACACGCCACAUCGGCCAUUAAAAUGGUCAAUUUUGAGAUCUUUUGAUCACUAGUCAAAUGAUGCCGAAAAAUUAUGAAAUUUAGUUUCCAAAUACUUUUAAUAUUGUAGAUCAAGUCUAACGAAGCCGAUCGUCAAUUUGAAAGCCGCAUCAUCGAAAACAACUUGGUAGCACGGGAGGCCCCGUGCUAC
Molecule: long non-coding RNA, 1720 nt
Filed under: Ananas comosus (pineapple)
Lineage: Eukaryota; Viridiplantae; Streptophyta; Magnoliopsida; Poales; Bromeliaceae
Description: long non-coding RNA (ACOM_LNC014007)
Source: RNAcentral